This is a non-coding RNA of Rhopilema esculentum, 73 nucleotides long. Lineage: Eukaryota; Metazoa; Cnidaria; Scyphozoa; Rhizostomeae; Rhizostomatidae. The record is from the annotation of a RefSeq genome assembly.
GCCGACGUGGCUCAAUUGGUAGAGCAUCUGAUUUGUAAUCAGGCGGUUGGGAGUUCGAGUCUCUCCGUCGGCA